This 529-nucleotide unclassified non-coding RNA is filed under the name Hevea brasiliensis (rubber tree). The record is from RNAcentral. Lineage: Eukaryota; Viridiplantae; Streptophyta; Magnoliopsida; Malpighiales; Euphorbiaceae.
GUUCACAGUUAAGGUAUGCAUUACAUUCAUAUUUAUGCAAAUGAUACAAACAAUUUAAAGGACUAUUUAUUUCAGGCAAUUUGAAAGAAUAAAAAAAUUAGAGAGUAGAAGUCCCAACAUCUAGGUAUUACAAAUUAUCACCUCAAUUUAAGAUUUCAGCACCACCAUUGGGAUUCUCAAAAUUAAAAAAUUAAACAGCCAGCUUUGAACAAGUGGCUGUGAUGAAGCCCAUUGCAUUCAAUUAUAUUUAAAUUUGUAAUAAAGCCAUCUUCCUCCCAACCAAGCAAAAUGCACUCACAAAGUAAGGAAAAAAAUCAUAGCAUAUCAUACUUAACCACAAAGAAGCCAUGAAUUUCAAUUGUCACUCAAUUUUAGAGACCAAUUAUCAAAGUUCUUGAAAAGUGAAAAAGCACAGGGCAGUGCUGUCGAAUAAUUUACUUCUACUUGAAAAAACAUAGGCACAAUAUUAUUGUAACUUAAUUUUUCUCACUCGUGAAAUUUACAAUAUCUUUUGACAGCCCAAUGAUUU